This 270-nucleotide ribosomal RNA is filed under the name uncultured archaeon. Its description in RNAcentral is "partial 16S ribosomal RNA". It matches the Rfam family "Archaeal small subunit ribosomal RNA", at positions 477 to 747 of the family's 1478-position model. The record is from RNAcentral.
CAGCACCUCAAGUGGUCAGGAUGAUUAUUGGGCCUAAAGCAUCCGUAGCCGGCGCUGUAAGUUUUCGGUUAAAUCUGUACGCUCAACGUACAGGCUGCCGGGAAUACUGCAGCGCUAGGGAGUGGGAGAGGUAGACGGUACUCGGUAGGAAGGGGUAAAAUCCUUUGAUCUAUUGAUGACCACCUGUGGCGAAGGCGGUCUACCAGAACACGUCCGACGGUGAGGGAUGAAAGAUGGGGGAGCAAACCGGAUUAGAGACCCGAGUAGUCC